RNAcentral lists this ribosomal RNA (497 nucleotides) under uncultured bacterium. Its description in RNAcentral is "partial 16S ribosomal RNA". It matches the Rfam family "Bacterial small subunit ribosomal RNA", at positions 28 to 507 of the family's 1533-position model. The record is from RNAcentral.
GAUGAACGCUGGCGGCGUGCCUAAUACAUGCAAGUCGAGCGAACAGACGAGGAGCUUGCUCCUCUGACGUUAGCGGCGGACGGGUGAGUAACACGUGGAUAACCUACCUAUAAGACUGGGAUAACUUCGGGAAACCGGAGCUAAUACCGGAUAAUAUAUUGAACCGCAUGGUUCAAUAGUGAAAGACGGUUUUGCUGUCACUUAUAGAUGGAUCCGCGCCGCAUUAGCUAGUUGGUAAGGUAACGGCUUACCAAGGCAACGAUGCGUAGCCGACCUGAGAGGGUGAUCGGCCACACGGGAACUGAGACACGGGCCAGACUCCUAAGGGAGGCAGCAGUAGGGAAUCUUCCGCAAUGGGCAAAAGCCUGACGGAGCAACGCCGCGUGAGUGAUGAAGGUCUUCGGAUCGUAAAACUCUGUUAUUAGGGAAGAACAAAUGUGUAAGUAACUAUGCACGUCUUGACGGUACCUAAUCAGAAAGCCACGGCUAACUACGUG